Molecule: ribosomal RNA, 253 nt
Filed under: uncultured bacterium
Lineage: Bacteria
Description: partial 16S ribosomal RNA
Rfam family: Bacterial small subunit ribosomal RNA
Source: RNAcentral
UACAGAGGUGGCAAGCGUUGUUCGGAAUUCCUGGGCGUAAAGGGCGCGUAGGCGGUUCGUUAAGUCCUGUGUGAAAUCCCCCGGCUCAACUGGGGAACUGCACAGGAAACUAGCGGGCUUGAGUUCGGGAGAGGGAAGCGGAAUUCCGGGUGUAGCGGUGAAAUGCGUAGAUAUCCGGAGGAACACCGGUGGCGAAGGCGGCUUCCUGGACCGACACUGACGCUGAGGCGCGAAAGCUAGGGGAGCAAACGGG